CCGAGCGAAAAUUCAAAGUCGAUUUUCUCGAAAACAAAGCCUCAAACGAAAAAUUUUUAUUCUAUAUUUUCGACUUCUUUUUUCGCGUAGAAGCACCCCCUUUCCACUUGUACCACCAGUACCAACCGCCCUGUAUAUUGUUAGAUAUCGUGAAUAUAUAUGUAAU
Long non-coding RNA from Bombus impatiens (common eastern bumble bee), 166 nucleotides. RefSeq lists it as uncharacterized. The transcript has 3 exons. NCBI's taxonomy places the organism in Eukaryota, Metazoa, Arthropoda, Insecta, Hymenoptera, Apidae. The record is from RefSeq and is a predicted model, not a curated record.